This 82-nucleotide transfer RNA is filed under the name Alteromonas sp. RNAcentral describes it as "tRNA-Leu". It matches the Rfam family "tRNA". Rfam says of the family: Transfer RNA (tRNA) molecules are approximately 80 nucleotides in length. The record is from RNAcentral. Lineage: Bacteria; Pseudomonadati; Pseudomonadota; Gammaproteobacteria; Alteromonadales; Alteromonadaceae.
GUUAGAGUCGCGGGUUUGGUCAACGCAUCGGAUUCAAAAUCCCCCUCAAGGUGUGCCGGUUCAAGUCCGGCCUCUGGUACCA